GAGGAGAGUGGAAUUUCGUGUGUAGGGAUGAAAUUCGUAGAUGUACGAAAAAAUGCAAAAAGUGAAGGCUGCUCUCUU
This 78-nucleotide non-coding RNA is filed under the name Hordeum vulgare subsp. vulgare (domesticated barley). The record is from Rfam by way of RNAcentral. Lineage: Eukaryota; Viridiplantae; Streptophyta; Magnoliopsida; Poales; Poaceae.